RNAcentral lists this ribosomal RNA (402 nucleotides) under uncultured prokaryote. RNAcentral describes it as "bacterial SSU rRNA". It matches the Rfam family "Bacterial small subunit ribosomal RNA", at positions 355 to 774 of the family's 1533-position model. The record is from RNAcentral.
UAGGGAAUAUUGGUAAUCUGCGAAAGCGGGAACCAGCAACGCCGCGUGUGCGAUGACGGCCUUCGGGUUGUAAAGCACUUUUUGAGGGGAUGAGGAAGGACAGUACCCUCAGAAUAAGCCUCGGCUAACUACGUGCCAGCAGCCGCGGUAACACGUAGGAGGCAAGCGUUAUUCGGAUUUACUGGGCGUAAAGCGCGUGCAGGCGGUUCGGUAAGUUGGAUGUGAAAGCUCCUGGCUUAACUGGGAGAGGUCGUUCAAAACUAUCAGACUUGAGAGUGGUAGAGGGAGGUGGAAUUCCGCAUGUAGUGGUGAAAUGCGUAGAUAUGCGGAGGAACACCAGUUGCGAAAGCGGCCUCCUGGCCCAUUUCUGACGCUCAGACACGAAAGCUAAGGUAGCAAACG